ACUCAAAUGAAUUGACGGGGGCCCGCACAAGCGGUGGAUGAUGUGGAUUAAUUCGAUGCAACGCGAAAAACCUUACCUACGCUUGACAUGUCCGAGAUCCCGAAGAGAUUUGGGAGUGCUCGAAAGAGAAUCGGAACACAGGUGCUGCAUGGCUGUCGUCAGCUCGUGUCGUGAGAUGUUGGGUUAAGUCCCGCAACGAGCGCAACCCUUGUCAUUAGUUGCUACAUUUAGUUGGGCACUCUAAUGAGACUGCCGGUGACAAACCGGAGGAAGGUGGGGAUGACGUCAAGUCCUCAUGGCCCUUAUGCGUAGGGCUUCACACGUCAUACAAUGGUCGGUACAGAGGGUCGCCAACCCGCGAGGGGGAGCCAAUCUCAGAAAGCCGAUCGUAGUCCGGAUCGUAGUCUGCAACUCGACUACGUGAAGUCGGAAUCGCUAGUAAUCGCGGAUCAGCAUGUCGCGGUGAAUACGUUCCCGGGCCUUGUACACACCGCCCGU
Molecule: ribosomal RNA, 498 nt
Filed under: uncultured bacterium
Lineage: Bacteria
Description: partial 16S ribosomal RNA
Rfam family: Bacterial small subunit ribosomal RNA
Source: RNAcentral